Molecule: long non-coding RNA, 255 nt
Filed under: Mytilus galloprovincialis (Mediterranean mussel)
Lineage: Eukaryota; Metazoa; Mollusca; Bivalvia; Mytilida; Mytilidae
Source: RNAcentral
UACCCAUUAAUUGACAUUUGCUUAACACAAAGUGACAAUAUUUAAGGUAUAAUUAUUCAAAGACGAGAAUUAACUACGCAAUGACUGUGAAGUGUGUUUUACAGGGAAAACAGGACUGAAAUAGUUUGCUCGGAGAUAAAAAAAAAAAGAAAAGAAAAAAAAAGAAACGCUGAAAUCUUUAGUCCAACAGCUUAUCUUGUUUUCCGACCCAUACCCUCAUAUAUUGUUUAAAAUUUGUCCGAAGAACAUAAGAAC